RNAcentral lists this ribosomal RNA (1178 nucleotides) under Bacillus amyloliquefaciens. RNAcentral describes it as "bacterial SSU rRNA". It matches the Rfam family "Bacterial small subunit ribosomal RNA", at positions 113 to 1277 of the family's 1533-position model. Lineage: Bacteria; Bacillati; Bacillota; Bacilli; Caryophanales; Bacillaceae. The record is from RNAcentral.
ACACGUGGGUAACCUGCCUGUAAGACUGGGAUAACUCCGGGAAACCGGGGCUAAUACCGGAUGGUUGUUUGAACCGCAUGGUUCAGACAUAAAAGGUGGCUUCGGCUACCACUUACAGAUGGACCCGCGGCGCAUUAGCUAGUUGGUGAGGUAACGGCUCACCAAGGCGACGAUGCGUAGCCGACCUGAGAGGGUGAUCGGCCACACUGGGACUGAGACACGGCCCAGACUCCUACGGGAGGCAGCAGUAGGGAAUCUUCCGCAAUGGACGAAAGUCUGACGGAGCAACGCCGCGUGAGUGAUGAAGGUUUUCGGAUCGUAAAGCUCUGUUGUUAGGGAAGAACAAGUGCCGUUCAAAUAGGGCGGCACCUUGACGGUACCUAACCAGAAAGCCACGGCUAACUACGUGCCAGCAGCCGCGGUAAUACGUAGGUGGCAAGCGUUGUCCGGAAUUAUUGGGCGUAAAGGGCUCGCAGGCGGUUUCUUAAGUCUGAUGUGAAAGCCCCCGGCUCAACCGGGGAGGGUCAUUGGAAACUGGGGAACUUGAGUGCAGAAGAGGAGAGUGGAAUUCCACGUGUAGCGGUGAAAUGCGUAGAGAUGUGGAGGAACACCAGUGGCGAAGGCGACUCUCUGGUCUGUAACUGACGCUGAGGAGCGAAAGCGUGGGGAGCGAACAGGAUUAGAUACCCUGGUAGUCCACGCCGUAAACGAUGAGUGCUAAGUGUUAGGGGGUUUCCGCCCCUUAGUGCUGCAGCUAACGCAUUAAGCACUCCGCCUGGGGAGUACGGUCGCAAGACUGAAACUCAAAGGAAUUGACGGGGGCCCGCACAAGCGGUGGAGCAUGUGGUUUAAUUCGAAGCAACGCGAAGAACCUUACCAGGUCUUGACAUCCUCUGACAAUCCUAGAGAUAGGACGUCCCCUUCGGGGGCAGAGUGACAGGUGGUGCAUGGUUGUCGUCAGCUCGUGUCGUGAGAUGUUGGGUUAAGUCCCGCAACGAGCGCAACCCUUGAUCUUAGUUGCCAGCAUUCAGUUGGGCACUCUAAGGUGACUGCCGGUGACAAACCGGAGGAAGGUGGGGAUGACGUCAAAUCAUCAUGCCCCUUAUGACCUGGGCUACACACGUGCUACAAUGGACAGAACAAAGGGCAGCGAAACCGCGAGGUUAAGCCAAUCCCAC